GCUUGCGGCGUGCUUAACACAUGCAAGUCGAACGGAAAGGCCCUGCUUUUGUGGGGUGCUCGAGUGGCGAACGGGCGAGUAACACGUGAGUAACCUGCCCUUGACUUUGGGAUAACUUCAGGAAACUGGGGCUAAUACCGGAUAGGAGCUCCUGCUGCAUGGUGGGGGUUGGAAAGUUUCGGCGGUUGGGGAUGGACUCGCGGCUUAUCAGCUUGUUGGUGGGGUAGUGGCUUACCAAGGCUUUGACGGGUAGCCGGCCUGAGAGGGUGACCGGCCACAUUGGGACUGAGAUACGGCCCAGACUCCUACGGGAGGCAGCAGUGGGGAAUAUUGCACAAUGGGCGGAAGCCUGAUGCAGCAACGCCGCGUGCGGGAUGACGGCCUUCGGGUUGUAAACCGCUUUCGCCUGUGACGAAGCGUGAGUGACGGUAAUGGGUAAAGAAGCACCGGCUAACUACGUGCCAGCAGCCGCGGUGAUACGUAGGGUGCGAGCGUUGUCCGGAUUUAUUGGGCGUAAAGGGCUCGUAGGUGGUUGAUCGCGUCGGAAGUGUAAUCUUGGGGCUUAACCCUGAGCGUGCUUUCGAUACGGGUUGACUUGAGGAAGGUAGGGGAGAAUGGAAUUCCUGGUGGAGCGGUGGAAUGCGCAGAUAUCAGGAGGAACACCAGUGGCGAAGGCGGUUCUCUGGGCCUUUCCUGACGCUGAGGAGCGAAAGCGUGGGGAGCGAACAGGCUUAGAUACCCUGGUAGUCCACGCUGUAAACGGUGGGUACUAGGUGUGGGGUCCAUUCCACGGGUUCCGUGCCGUAGCUAACGCUUUAAGUACCCCGCCUGGGGAGUACGGCCGCAAGGCUAAAACUCAAAGGAAUUGACGGGGCCCCGCACAAGCGGCGGAGCAUGCGGAUUAAUUCGAUGCAACGCGUAGAACCUUACCUGGGUUUGACAUGGAUCGGGAGUGCUCAGAGAUGGGUGUGCCUCUUUUGGGGUCGGUUCACAGGUGGUGCAUGGCUGUCGUCAGCUCGUGUCGUGAGAUGUUGGGUUAAGUCCCGCAACGAGCGCAACCCUUGUUCACUGUUGCCAGCACGUUAUGGUGGGGACUCAGUGGAGACCGCCGGGGUCAACUCGGAGGAAGGUGGGGAUGACGUCAAGUCAUCAUGCCCCUUAUGUCCAGGGCUUCACGCAUGCUACAAUGGCUGGUACAGAGAGUGGCGAGCCUGUGAGGGUGAGCGAAUCUCGGAAAGCCGGUCUCAGUUCGGAUUGGGGUCUGCAACUCGACCUCAUGAAGUCGGAGUCGCUAGUAAUCGCAGAUCAGCAACGCUGCGGUGAAUACGUUCCCGGGGCUUGUACACACCGCCCGUCAAGUCAUGAAAGUUGGUAACACCCGAAGCCGGUGGCCUAACCGUUGUGGGGGAGCCGUCGAAGGUGGGACUGGUGAUUAGGACU
RNAcentral lists this ribosomal RNA (1440 nucleotides) under uncultured organism. Its description in RNAcentral is "partial small subunit ribosomal RNA". It matches the Rfam family "Bacterial small subunit ribosomal RNA". The record is from RNAcentral.